GGUGAGGUGGCCGAGAGGCUGAAGGCGCUCCCCUGCUAAGGGAGUAUACGGUCAAAAGCUGUAUCGAGGGUUCGAAUCCCUCCCUCACCG
Non-coding RNA from Pantoea stewartii subsp. stewartii DC283, 90 nucleotides. Lineage: Bacteria; Pseudomonadati; Pseudomonadota; Gammaproteobacteria; Enterobacterales; Erwiniaceae. The record is from Rfam.